Molecule: long non-coding RNA, 433 nt
Filed under: Vigna radiata
Lineage: Eukaryota; Viridiplantae; Streptophyta; Magnoliopsida; Fabales; Fabaceae
Description: long non-coding RNA (VRAD_LNC001893)
Source: RNAcentral
GGAGAGACUCUUCUCCAUGUAAAAAUGAACUUUGAUGAUAUAAUGAAAUGCUAUUGAGAUUUCUCCAGUCAUAUCCUCAGAGUUCAACCUUCUUUGUGCUUAUUUUGCACUUCCUCCUCUAGCUUCCUUCCCUUUUGGAAGGUCUUCUGAGCUUGAUAAACCUCAUAUACUCACCAAACCUUCACUAAAACAUUCAUCGAACACCUUCCAUGCAUCACAAUUCUCAUGCAUCCUUCCUUUCCGCUGCUGCAUUUUGUGAUGUGAAGUUGUUCUAGCAUGAAGCUUGGACUUGCUUCCAUCAUGUCUUUUGUUAAAGACAAAAUCUUGUAUAUGAACAAAUGAUCUCAUGUUUUGAAUUUUAAUCAAAUAACAUUAAAACGAUUUAAAGGAUCAGAAAGCAACUUAGGAUAAAAACGUAGAGCCAAAAACCCAA